This 440-nucleotide ribosomal RNA is filed under the name uncultured bacterium. Its description in RNAcentral is "partial 16S ribosomal RNA". It matches the Rfam family "Bacterial small subunit ribosomal RNA", at positions 338 to 795 of the family's 1533-position model. The record is from RNAcentral.
CCUACGGGAGGCUGCAGUGGCGAAUAUUGCACAAUGGGGGAAACCCUGAUGCAGCGACGCCGCGUGAGUGAAGAAGUAUUUCGGUACGUAAAGCUCUAUCAGCAGGGAAGAAAAUGACGGUACCUGACUAAGAAGCCCCGGCUAACUACGUGCCAGCAGCCGCGGUAAUACGUAGGGGGCAAGCGUUAUCCGGAUUUACUGGGUGUAAAGGGAGCGUAGACGGCAGCGCAAGUCUGGAGUGAAAUCCCAUGGCUUAACCAUGGAACUGCUUUGGAAACUGUGCAGCUAGAGUGCAGGAGAGGUAAGCGGAAUUCCUAGUGUAGCGGUGAAAUGCGUAGAUAUUAGGAGGAACACCAGUGGCGAAGGCGGCUUACUGGACUGUAACUGACGUUGAGGCUCGAAAGCGUGGGGAGCAAACAGGAUUAGAUACCCCGGUAGUC